AGAGUUUGAUCAUGGCUCAGAACGAACGCUGGCGGCAGGCUUAACACAUGCAAGUCGAACGAUGUAGCAAUACAUAGUGGCGCACGGGUGAGUAACGCGUGGGAAUAUACCUUAUAGUGGGGAAUAACUUUGGGAAACUAAAGCUAAUACCGCAUACGCCCGAGAGGGGAAAGAUUUAUCGCUAUAAGAUUAGCCCGCGUGAGAUUAGGUAGUUGGUGGGGUAAUGGCCUACCAAGCCUACGAUCUCUAGCUGGUCUGAGAGGAUGAUCAGCCACACUGGAACUGAGACACGGUCCAGACUCCUACGGGAGGCAGCAGUGGGGAAUAUUGGGCAAUGGAGGAAACUCUGACCCAGCCAUGCCGCGUGAAUGAUGAAGGCCUUAGGGUUGUAAAGUUCUUUCGCCGAUGAAGAUAAUGACGGUAGUCGGAGAAGAAGCCCCGGCUAACUUCGUGCCAGCAGCCGCGGUAAUACGAAGGGGGCUAGCGUUGUUCGGAAUUACUGGGCGUAAGCGAGCGUAGGUUGCUCGAUAAGUCAGUGGUGAAAGCCCAGAGCUCAACUCUGGAACUGCCAUUGAAACUGUCGAGCUGGAAUCUCAGAGGGGGUAGCGGAAUUCCAAAUGUAGGGGUGAAAUCCGUAGAUAUUUGGAGGAACACCGGUGGCGAAGGCGGCUACCUGGAUGAGUAUUGACACUGAGGCUCGAAAGCGUGGGGAUCAAACAGGAUUAGAUACCCCGGUAGUCCAA
This 743-nucleotide ribosomal RNA is filed under the name uncultured bacterium. RNAcentral's name for it is "bacterial SSU rRNA". It matches the Rfam family "Bacterial small subunit ribosomal RNA", at positions 8 to 798 of the family's 1533-position model. The record is from RNAcentral.